This 254-nucleotide ribosomal RNA is filed under the name uncultured bacterium. RNAcentral describes it as "partial 16S ribosomal RNA". It matches the Rfam family "Bacterial small subunit ribosomal RNA", at positions 524 to 776 of the family's 1533-position model. The record is from RNAcentral.
CACGUAGGGGGCAAGCGUUGUCCGGAUUUAUUGGGCGUAAAGAGCUCGUAGGUGGUUCGGUAAGUCAGGUGUGAAACCUCCAGGCUCAACCUGGAGACGCCACUUGAUACUGCUGUGACUGGAGUCCGGUAGGGGAGCGUGGAAUUCCACGUGUAGCAGUGAAAUGCGUAGAUAUGUGGAGGAACACCGAUGGCGAAGGCAGCCCCCUGGGAUGUGACUGACGCUCAUGUACGAAAGCGUGGGGAGCAAACAGG